Molecule: ribosomal RNA, 253 nt
Filed under: uncultured bacterium
Lineage: Bacteria
Description: partial 16S ribosomal RNA
Rfam family: Bacterial small subunit ribosomal RNA
Source: RNAcentral
UACGUAGGGGGCAAGCGUUGUCCGGAUUUACUGGGCGUAAAGGGCGUGCAGGCGGUUUGUUAAGUGCAGGGUGAAAGCUCCCGGCUCAACUGGGAGAGGUCCUUGCAUACUGGCGAACUCGAGGGAGGCAGAGGAAAGUGGAAUUCCCGGUGUAGUGGUGAUAUGCGUAGAUAUCGGGAGGAACACCUGUGGCGAAGGCGGCUUUCUGGGCCUUACCUGACGCUGAGACGCGAAAGCGUGGGGAGCGAACCGG